GUAAAUAAUAAUUAUCGCAAAUCUUUGAUUUGUGGAAUUGGGCUUUUAUUUCGAAUAGAUUUAUGGCCUUAAAUUACGUUAUUGGCUUAUACAUGAAAUCCGAUCUAAAGGAGCAAAUUAAACAUUCUCUCGUUAGCGGAUUUUUUCACAAGCUUAUUACGAUUUUUGGUUGCCGAAGCACUUUCACGAGCGCGAAGCCAAAAUCGGAAGUUUUUUUAA
This 219-nucleotide unclassified non-coding RNA is filed under the name uncultured Entrophospora. Its description in RNAcentral is "uncultured Claroideoglomus partial internal transcribed spacer 2". Lineage: Eukaryota; Fungi; Glomeromycota; Glomeromycetes; Entrophosporales; Entrophosporaceae. The record is from RNAcentral.